Molecule: long non-coding RNA, 1227 nt
Filed under: Vulpes vulpes (red fox)
Lineage: Eukaryota; Metazoa; Chordata; Mammalia; Carnivora; Canidae
Description: lncRNA (ENSVVUG00000012162.1)
Source: RNAcentral
AUGUCCCAGAGACCCCAACCUGACCACAAGAGCACCCAGCCAAAUGUCCUUCCAGCAGCUCCCACAAAUACCCAAGAGGAGACCCAAGGCUUUCAGUCCAUUCUCCACAGUCGCCGGGUCAGCAUCCAGGAACCCCUGCCCAUUAUCCAUAAUCGCCGGGUCAGCAUCCAAGAACCUCUGCCCACUAUCCACAAUCGCCGGGUCAGCAUCCAAGAGCCUCUGAUAGUCACCAGUCACUGGGCCAGUACCCAUGACACACCAUCUGUUAUCAACAGCCGCCAAUUCAGUAUUGAGAAUGCACCAGCCACUAUUAGUGGUCACCAGGCCAGUAUCCAAGGCACACCGUCAGUUACCUACAGUCGCCGUUUCAAUACCCGAGAUGUUCCACCAAUUUUCCAAACUCCCUACAUUAACACCCAAAACUCUCCGUCAAUUACUCACACCCCAUUGUCCAAUAUGGAGUCAGUUAUCUACAAUAGCAGUCAAGCCAGUAGCAACGACAGCUGGCCAACAAGCUGGAGUCCCCAACUAAGCAUUCAAGGCCUCACAUUGCCAAACCAGGCCAGAGUCAAUGUACCCCCUUCAAUUACUCACAGCCCCACAGUCAGUGUCAAAAGCGUCGAUUCAGUCAUCUGGACCUCCCAGGAGAUUUUCAAAGACUCUGUGAACAGCUCCCAAUUCUACCAAAAUCCUCUAGACAAUAUCCAGAGCACACAGACAAGCAUAUCCACUGAGAUGGAUUCUGGCGGGUUUCAGAACAAGGGUAGACGCAGGCAUUCACAGCUGCCCCUGGCCUGGAAGCUGCUGCAUGGAGCCAAGAAGAUUAGCCGUCAGGUGAGCCUGGCACUGACCCUGGCUGGCAUGGUGAUCAUCAGUCUCAUCUCUCUGGGCCAGCCCUGGAUGCAUUUCCAGGUGCCACUUGCACCUCCUGGGCACCCUGAUGGCUCCCUGACCAUCCACAUCAACACCAUCUUCUUUAUGCACUGCCCUGACAUCUACUGUGUACAGGAGUACGACCAGAAUGCUUGGACCAGCAUGGUAUUGGGGAUCCUGUUCUACCUGAUGCAGGCCCAUGAAUUUCUACAGGAAGGCAUGACCUACAGGCUGGGGCGCAGCUUCUACCUGGCAUGGAUCAGCGUCUUUCUCUUCCUGAUGACUGGUUUCUUUUCCUAUCUGAACUACAUGAAUUUCUGGUCCAUCCUGGCGCUCCAGGCCAUCUGGACUUAG